This 536-nucleotide small RNA is filed under the name Pan troglodytes (chimpanzee). RNAcentral describes it as "retained intron". Lineage: Eukaryota; Metazoa; Chordata; Mammalia; Primates; Hominidae. The record is from RNAcentral.
GGAGGAGAGUUUGUCAGGCUACAUGUAAUGCCUGUGUUCUUUUGACAGAAAGAGAGUUUGAUCCUGACAUCCACUGUGGGGUUAUUGAUCUCGACACCAAGAAGCCCUGCACCCGGUCUUUGACAUGCAAGACACAUUCCUUAACCCAGCGCAGGGCUGUCCAGGGUAGAAGAAAACGAUUUGAUGUGUUAUUAGCCGAGCACAAAAACAAAACCAGGGAAAAGGAAUUGAUUCGCCAUCCGGACUCUCAGCAACCACCGCAGCCUCUCAGGGACCCGCAUCCCGCCCCUCCUAGAACGUCACAGGAGCCGCACCAAAACCCUCACGGAGUGAUUCCUUCCGAAUCAAAGCCUUUUGUAGCUAGUAAACCUAAACCUCACACCCCCAGUCUUCCAAGGUAAGCCAAGCCCUCCAACUCUUUCUCCCACCUUCAGAGAUGAGACUUGCAGAUACUGUAAAAUUUCAGUAUGGUCAUGAUGUUGAGAAACAUAUCUCAGGCUCACUGUGGAGAUAGUUUUUUAAGGAGUUUUACUAUG